Molecule: long non-coding RNA, 452 nt
Organism: Pelmatolapia mariae (spotted tilapia)
Lineage: Eukaryota; Metazoa; Chordata; Actinopteri; Cichliformes; Cichlidae
Exons: 3
Source: RefSeq, a predicted model, not a curated record
GCCUGGAUUUUUCUAGCUCAUAGCUUCGCCCUGCUAAGAAGCGUGUGUGCUUGUACAAAGGCCGUUCAGCGUCGGGAUUUACACUCGGCUCGACACGGAUAUGUGAAGAAUGAAGGGACUCUGCAGCGAAACGGAGAGCCAACCUCUGACUGAGUGCCUGUUUACGCAGUCUGACCACCUGUUGAAGGGCUGUUUGAUGACGAUUUGGACUCCUCUGGGAGAUGAGGACACACCCACAUCUGUUCCAUACUGCAGCCAUUGAUGGUGUUACAGCUCUGAGUCAGCUUUGGGCCAUCAGAUGCACACACUGGAAAACCAGCACCUGGACUUCAUGCAGGAGAGACGGCCUCAGUGAUAAUUCAUCAGCAGCUGCGGAGAGAUGCAUUUGAAUAUCUUCUGGUUCCACUUUUCCUUACCUGGAAGCUGAGUAUUGCUGAUUUCUGACAAGGAAA